Molecule: long non-coding RNA, 363 nt
Organism: Gadus morhua (Atlantic cod)
Lineage: Eukaryota; Metazoa; Chordata; Actinopteri; Gadiformes; Gadidae
Exons: 3
Source: RefSeq, a predicted model, not a curated record
GGAUCUGACGCCACGCCCGUCCACAUCGAGGGGGCGGCCACUCAGUUCACAUUGAGGACUGGUCAAACAGCAUUUCUGAUCCCGUUUCUGACCUGAAAUUAGCUGAAAUGUACCUGAAAUUACCUGAAAUUAGAGUGUGCCCGCCCGAGCGAGUGAUGCCUAAAACAUGCAAAGACACGUCAGUGUAAUUGUGAAUGGCGAGAGCCCUGAAAUACAGCUGGACAGCAGCGGUCUACAUCACUGCCCCUUCUGCAGAUACAAAGGGUCAAAAUGUGAUAUCGACCAUCACAUUAAAUGCCAUGCCUCGGUUAAAUACAGAGGUCUGCAGAGGAGCUUUCAGGAAGCAGGAAGAGAAGACGGGAG